Long non-coding RNA from Quercus robur (English oak), 2013 nucleotides. RefSeq lists it as uncharacterized. NCBI's taxonomy places the organism in Eukaryota, Viridiplantae, Streptophyta, Magnoliopsida, Fagales, Fagaceae. The record is from RefSeq and is a predicted model, not a curated record. The transcript has 4 exons.
AAACGGUUAAAAAAAAUUAAAAAAAAAAGGCUUGCAACUAAAAAAACACGAGCGAUACAGAGAAAGGGAAGGAGAGAAAAAAAAAAGCUUGCGAUACAGGGGAGAGACAGAGUUCGUGCGGCCGGCCAUCACCAUCCCUUGCCAGACUUAGACCACCGGAACCGGCACCGGUAACCUAAAGGUGCAUGCAGGAAUUGAGAUACGGAGAUAGAGAGAACUACCACCGGUAUUUGGGUUACGUUUGGUUUGGAUUUUAAAAGAGAAUUGAGGCUACGGUGAUUUUCUCUUAAUGGGAUUUCGCCAGAAUCAUCUGACUGUUGGGAAGACAAUACGGUUUAAUUUUUUUGUUUGUUGAGAAACCUCCCCCUUUGCAGUUGGUUGGCCAAUCAUUAAUUCUAUUAAUGAUUGGAUUUAGAAUGUCAGGUUAGUUGGGUGAUAACAUGGUUUUAAGUUGCAGAAGUAUCUAACAAUGAUUUAUCAUAUAUAUUUUGAAUUUGAGGUAAUGUACCUACUACAAAUGCUUAGUCACAUAAAAAUAUUAAUAGAGAAAGACAAAAGGAUAUUUAAUAUGUUAUUCAGCUGAAGAUAUGGCUGAUAGGGCUGAUAGCAAGGCAAGUUAUUCUUUUUGGAAAAUUUUUAAAUGAGCCAAAAGCAACUUCUAAAUUGAGUUCUAUUUGUAAUAUUGCACUUUAUGUAUAUACUAAUGUUUCUCCUGUAAUUAUGUGACUCAUAUGGAUUUGUUGUGCUAGGGAAAUCAUGGUCCAAUCCCAAUACUUUUUUGCAGUGCAUUUGCAUCAAGUAGAAUUCAUGUAUGUAAUUUCAGCCAAUCUGAUGUAGAUAUGGGAAUAAGGAAAAAGUAUACCACUAAUGCUUGGGAAGCUUAAGUAUACCGCUGAUAAUAUAGCAGUCCUAUAGGUAAGUGCUCUGCUUAUAAUCCUUUUGGAGAUUACUUUAUGGGGAUAUUUAGAUUUUCUUAAGAAUUUUGAUUCAUGGGAACUGUUUUUGUUAAGGUGGUGAUGUCAUUGUUACAAAAAGAGGAAAAUGAAGUUUAUAAGAGGCCUAAAUCUGGGAUAAAGAAAGGGUAUUUCUUUCCCCAUUGUUAGGAAGUUUGAAUAUGCAAAAUAUUGAUAACCUAAUAAAUUUUUGUUAGUUAUGUUGUCACUUUUGUUCGUGUCAUCAACCUAAAAGGUAUAAGGUACCGUGAUUGAUAAAUUAAAGUGCUUCUUAAGAACUUUUUAUACAUUUAUUUUUAUCCUACUUAGUUUUUGAAAAUAUUUUUUUCAUCUAUUCUUUGUUUGCCAAUAUCUGUUUCUUUCUAAUGGUCAAGGUUUCAGUGAGUUAUUUGUUAAAGUUAUAUAUUGUGUUGAAUUCUUUUUUAUUUUAUUUAUCAUUUGCAUCUCUUUUUAAAAAGAAAAGUUUUGCACAUCACUUUUUAAAAAAGAUAGCAUCCUAAAGCCGUGGAAGGUAAUUAGAAGAAGCCAAUAUAUAUAUAUAUAUAUAUAUAUUUUUUUUUUUUUUGGCAGUGUAUGCCUAAGUUUUUGUUGUCUUGGUUCCUUAUUUCUUUGCCAUAGUCAAACAUUCUAUAUAUUUGUUUUUUGCUUUUUAUAUUUUUUGUUGGCUUGAUGAGCGCAGGGGAAAGUUUCCAAAUUCUUAUUAAACUUGCAAGAUUAUGAAUACCCACACACCAUUUUGAUAUACAAUUCUUUCUCUCUCUCUCUGAAUUCAGUUAUGCCAGAUUAUUUUUGUCCAAGAUCAGUAUUAUGCGGAAGCAGCAUGUUGAUUCGUAUAAAAAAGAGUGGUGGAUUGGGUUCCAAUAACUUUCUUUUUGGGGACCUGAAUUUGAAGCAAAGAAAUAGAAAGAGAAUGUGUAAUACAGAAUUCAAUUUAAUUUUCAGUUUCUGUUUUCCAUCCUACCUGUUCUGUUUUUGAAGAGUGAUUGAAAUUGUAGAACUUUGAAAUCUGAAAGUGUAAUGUUUUUUAUACAAAGUUGAUUAUCUCUUAGAUUUUAGUUAA